Molecule: non-coding RNA, 159 nt
Filed under: Candidatus Omnitrophota bacterium
Lineage: Bacteria; Pseudomonadati; Candidatus Omnitrophota
Description: 6S RNA
Rfam family: 6S / SsrS RNA
About the family: E. coli 6S RNA was the first non coding RNA to be sequenced, but its function was unknown until recently. It consists of 184 nucleotides that fold into an extended hairpin structure with a large single-stranded internal bulge.
Source: RNAcentral
AUAUCCCUGCUGUGUGCGUUAGAUGGGGCUUUAUAAAGAACCAACACUUUAUAAAUGGGAUGCCUGACUUCUGUAAUACCCGUGGGUAUUUUUAGAGAGGUUCCCACCUGGUGACAGGGUUCACCUUAUAUGCCUUGUCGACGGCACCGCGGGGAUUUU